AUCGAACGCUAACGGCGUGCUUAACAUAUGCAAGUCGAACGGCAGCACGGCAGUAGCAAUACUGUGGGUGGCGAGUGGCGGACGGGUGAGUAAUGCAUAGGAAUCUGCCUUGUAAUGGGGGAUAACCCGGGGAAACUCGGGCUAAUACCGCAUAAUCUUUACGAAGCAAAGUGGGGGACCGUAAGGCCUCACGUUAUAAGAUGAGCCUAUGUUGGAUUAGCUAGUUGGUGGGGUAAAGGCCUACCAAGGCGACGGUCCAUAGCUGGUCUGAGAUGAUGAUCAGCCACACUGGGACUGAGCAACGGCCCAGACUCCUACGGGAGGCAGCAGUGGGGAAUAUUGGACAAUGGGGGAAACCCUGAUCCAGCAACGCCGUGUGUGUGAAGAAGGCCUUAGGGUUGUAAAGCACUUUCAGUAGGGAAGAAAAGCUUAAGGGUAAUACCCUUGAGUAUUGACGUUACCUACAGAAGAAGCACUGGCUAACUCUGUGCCAGCCGCCGCCGUAA
Molecule: ribosomal RNA, 506 nt
Filed under: uncultured bacterium
Lineage: Bacteria
Description: partial 16S ribosomal RNA
Rfam family: Bacterial small subunit ribosomal RNA
Source: RNAcentral